ACUUAAAUUGAAGAGUUUGAUCAUGGCUCAGAUUGAACGCUGGCGGCAGGCCUAACACAUGCAAGUCGAGCGGUAGCACAGAGAGCUUGCUCUCGGGUGACGAGCGGCGGACGGGUGAGUAAUGUCUGGGAAACUGCCUGAUGGAGGGGGAUAACUACUGGAAACGGUAGCUAAUACCGCAUAACGUCGCAAGACCAAAGUGGGGGACCUUCGGGCCUCAUGCCAUCAGAUGUGCCCAGAUGGGAUUAGCUAGUAGGUGGGGUAACGGCUCACCUAGGCGACGAUCCCUAGCUGGUCUGAGAGGAUGACCAGCCACACUGGAACUGAGACACGGUCCAGACUCCUACGGGAGGCAGCAGUGGGGAAUAUUGCACAAUGGGCGCAAGCCUGAUGCAGCCAUGCCGCGUGUGUGAAGAAGGCCUUCGGGUUGUAAAGCACUUUCAGCGGGGAGGAAGGCGGUGAGGUUAAUAACCUCAUCGAUUGACGUUACCCGCAGAAGAAGCACCGGCUAACUCCGUGCCAGCAGCCGCGGUAAUACGGAGGGUGCAAGCGUUAAUCGGAAUUACUGGGCGUAAAGCGCACGCAGGCGGUCUGUCAAGUCGGAUGUGAAAUCCCCGGGCUCAACCUGGGAACUGCAUUCGAAACUGGCAGGCUAGAGUCUUGUAGAGGGGGGUAGAAUUCCAGGUGUAGCGGUGAAAUGCGUAGAGAUCUGGAGGAAUACCGGUGGCGAAGGCGGCCCCCUGGACAAAGACUGACGCUCAGGUGCGAAAGCGUGGGGAGCAAACAGGAUUAGAUACCCUGGUAGUCCACGCCGUAAACGAUGUCGAUUUGGAGGUUGUGCCCUUGAGGCGUGGCUUCCGGAGCUAACGCGUUAAAUCGACCGCCUGGGGAGUACGGCCGCAAGGUUAAAACUCAAAUGAAUUGACGGGGGCCCGCACAAGCGGUGGAGCAUGUGGUUUAAUUCGAUGCAACGCGAAGAACCUUACCUGGUCUUGACAUCCACAGAACUU
RNAcentral lists this ribosomal RNA (1010 nucleotides) under Klebsiella pneumoniae. RNAcentral's name for it is "bacterial SSU rRNA". It matches the Rfam family "Bacterial small subunit ribosomal RNA", at positions 1 to 998 of the family's 1533-position model. The record is from RNAcentral. Lineage: Bacteria; Pseudomonadati; Pseudomonadota; Gammaproteobacteria; Enterobacterales; Enterobacteriaceae.